ACAAGACAUAAAAAAGGAUUCAGAUUAAAAGGCUAGAACAAUUUAGGACAAUCGCAGUAAAUGAGGUCCAUCCUAGGCAAUCUGAGGCAGAUGGUUUUCUUACUUACAAACCAGGAGCUUGCACUCUCUUGCCUUUCUGCCUUGCACCAUGGGAGGACACAGCAAGAAGCUCUCACCGGAUGCUAGACCCUCAACCUUGGACUUCUCAGCCUCCAGAACCACGAGAAAUAAAUUUCUGUUUAUUGUAAAUUGCCCAGUCUCAAAUAUUAUGUGACAGCUGCACUAAACAGACUAAGAUGCUCCCUUAACAUAAACCACAGGGUUCCUAUGGAAAACAGGCAACAUGGAAUGUUUCAGGCAUUGUAAUCAUUGAAGGAAAGGAGAAACAAAAGGAGAGAUUGUGCUGAAGUGAACAGAGCACAGACUGUGACGGGAAUCUCACAAUCUUACCAACUUUGAGAUCAGCAUGAAAUGUAAAUGGAACACCAAGAAACAGCAUACUUCAUGGCCAUGUUAUAACUAAUGAAUUACUUGGGGUUUGAUGACUGGCUUACAGAGAAGAAUAAGGAAAUGUACCUCUAAGAAUCGUUUGAAAUGAGUCUUCAUAUCCUCCCAAAUAUUUUUCAAGAACGUUUGGCAUUACUUCAAAAAUUAACUUUAGGAAAGGAACUAUUAUCACAUUUUAAGAGGGGAAUUGCAGUUGCACUUAAACUAGAAACUUCCACUUGGUGAAUUGAAUUAUUAAGGAAUAAUGGCAGAAGAAAGAAAAUCAAACCAGGAAUAUUUUUCAGACACAAAUAAUACUGGCUCAGCUCCGAUUCAGUAGGCUCACAUCAUUUAAACUAACGAUUACCUUGACACCACCAGAAGAAAAAUAGGAAAGUAAGAAGUGCCUUAGAAGUAUGAUAUUAUCAUUUAUUGCAAAGGAUACAAUAGUUAAGGUGGGUAUUAGCAUAUUAUUUAUUUAUUCAUUAUUUUAUUUUUAUCUAAAA
RNAcentral lists this long non-coding RNA (992 nucleotides) under Homo sapiens (human). Its description in RNAcentral is "PREDICTED lncRNA (TCONS_00068477)". The record is from RNAcentral. Lineage: Eukaryota; Metazoa; Chordata; Mammalia; Primates; Hominidae.